This 343-nucleotide ribosomal RNA is filed under the name uncultured Oscillospiraceae bacterium. RNAcentral's name for it is "bacterial SSU rRNA". It matches the Rfam family "Bacterial small subunit ribosomal RNA", at positions 355 to 716 of the family's 1533-position model. The record is from RNAcentral. Lineage: Bacteria; Bacillati; Bacillota; Clostridia; Eubacteriales; Oscillospiraceae.
UGGGGGAUAUUGCACAAUGGGCGAAAGCCUGAUGCAGCGACGCCGCGUGAGGGAAGACGGUUUUCGGAUUGUAAACCUCUGUCUUCGGGGACGAAAAUGACGGUACCCGAGGAGGAAGCCACGGCUAACUACGUGCCAGCAGCCGCGGUAAUACGUAGGUGGCAAGCGUUGUCCGGAAUUACUGGGUGUAAAGGGAGAGUAGGCGGGAUUGCAAGUCCGUUGUUAAAUCUAUCGGCUUAACCGGUAGCUGCGGCGGAAACUGUAGUUCUUGAGUGAAGUAGAGGCAGGCGGAAUUCCUAGUGUAGCGGUGAAAUGCGUAGAUAUUAGGAGGAACACCAGUGGC